This 739-nucleotide unclassified non-coding RNA is filed under the name Zea mays. RNAcentral's name for it is "misc RNA Zm00001eb388160". Lineage: Eukaryota; Viridiplantae; Streptophyta; Magnoliopsida; Poales; Poaceae. The record is from RNAcentral.
CACCAACGCCUUCCCCCACCUCUGUGCCGCCGGCUCCGACGCCUUCCACCGCACCGACGCCGCUGGCUCCACCGCCUACCCCUCCUCGACGCCACUGGUCCUGUUCACGCCUUGAGCCCUCUACUGGACGUCAAGAGAAGUGCUGCCCUGCGAGUUCGAAUCCAGAGGCUCUCCAUGACUUCAUCUGUCUCUGGCUCUUCAAAAUCACCUCGUAAGCCUCCGGUGUCGUACCGGAAAUGGAUGGAUGCAGAUAAUCCUGUUUGUUGCAAGUGCUCAGGUGUUAUGUUGGAGCUGACCUCGUGGACCGAUUCCAACCCAAGCAGAGGAUUCCUUCGUUGCCAAAAGGGAUCAGAAGGGUGUAAUCUUUUCCAAUGGGUGAGUCCCCCCCCCUUUCGGACUUUGAUAAAAAACUGAUGUUACAAGUGCAGGAUAAGAUUUAUGCUUUGAGAGAGGCCAACAACGAUCUGAGAGACAGACUUGAUGAAUCGAACGAACGUGUGGUUGUGCAGGAAGCUGAGAUCGCCAGACUGAGAAUGCAGCUAGAGAAGAUCACUAGUGAUCGCCAGACUGAAAAUGAUUUCAGCUGUAGUGUUUGUUGUAAUCUUGUGUUUGCUCACGCGCUUGUUUCAACAUGGGGCUGUGGUCGACAGUAGCAAAUCUUAUGAACUGAUGUAGUUGUUUUGGUCAGCAAUGGAUAGCCAAGCAGUGGUGAACUGAUGUAGGUAUUUUGGUCAGCAGU